This 270-nucleotide ribosomal RNA is filed under the name uncultured bacterium. RNAcentral describes it as "partial 16S ribosomal RNA". It matches the Rfam family "Bacterial small subunit ribosomal RNA", at positions 88 to 354 of the family's 1533-position model. The record is from RNAcentral.
CCGGCGACCGGCGCACGGGUGAGUAACACGUAUGCAACCUGGCCGUGACAGAUGGAUAACCGGGAGAAAUCCCGCCUAAUACAGCAUGACGCCGGGAAGGGACAUCCCUUUCCGGCCAAAGGGGGCGACUCCGGUCACGGAUGGGCAUGCGGCGCAUUAGGUAGUUGGUGGGGCAACGGCCCACCAAGCCGACGAUGCGUAGGGGUUCUGAGAGGAAGGUCCCCCACAUUGGAACUGAGACACGGUCCAAACUCCUACGGGAGGCAGCAG